Molecule: long non-coding RNA, 260 nt
Filed under: Theobroma cacao (cacao)
Lineage: Eukaryota; Viridiplantae; Streptophyta; Magnoliopsida; Malvales; Malvaceae
Description: long non-coding RNA (TCAC_LNC003790)
Source: RNAcentral
UUUAAGAUUCUUUUCGGUGGGCUUAAAAUUAAUUUAAGUUCUCAUCAAUUAGAAUCGAGUCAAUAGGUAGCCAAUCGCACUUAGUAAAAAAGAUUGGUGGCGACUCUUAGUUUAAUUUUUUAGUGAGUUUUCACAUUCGCGUCUGGCAGUCGGGUUCCCGGACCUGCACGUUAUGACAAAUCGCACCUAGUAAAAACGAUUGGUGGCGACUCUUAGUUUUUAAAGUUUUCACACCACGUCUGGCGAUCGGGUUCCCGGAC